This 184-nucleotide ribosomal RNA is filed under the name uncultured bacterium. RNAcentral's name for it is "partial 16S ribosomal RNA". It matches the Rfam family "Bacterial small subunit ribosomal RNA", at positions 1316 to 1500 of the family's 1533-position model. The record is from RNAcentral.
CUGCAUGAAGUCGGAAUUGCUAGUAAUCGCGGAUCAGCAUGCCGCGGUGAAUACGUUCCCGGGCCUUGUACACACCGCCCGUCACACCAUAGGAGCCGGUAAUACCCGAAGUCAGUAGUCCAACCUCGUGAGGACGCUGCCGAAGGUAGGAUUGGCGACUGGGGUGAAGUCGUAACAAGGUAUC